CGGAGGGUGCAAGCGUUAUCCGGAUUCACUGGGUUUAAAGGGUGCGUAGGCGGGCAGGUAAGUCCGUGGUGAAAUCUCUGAGCUUAACUCAGAAACUGCCAUGGAUACUAUUUGUCUUGAAUAUUGUGGAGGUAAGCGGAAUAUGUCAUGUAGCGGUGAAAUGCUUAGAUAUGACAUAGAACACCAAUUGCGAAGGCAGCUUACUACACAGUUAUUGACGCUGAGGCACGAAAGCGUGGGGAUCAAACAGGAUUAGAUACCCUGGUAGUCCACGCCCUAAACGAUGAUUACUCGACAUCAGCGAUACACUGUUGGUGUCUGAGCGAAAGCAUUAAGUAAUCCACCUGGGAAGUACGACCGCAAGGUUG
RNAcentral lists this ribosomal RNA (368 nucleotides) under uncultured organism. Its description in RNAcentral is "bacterial SSU rRNA". It matches the Rfam family "Bacterial small subunit ribosomal RNA", at positions 526 to 896 of the family's 1533-position model. The record is from RNAcentral.